UUUUUUUCCUAUUAUCGUGCGCAAAGUUCGAUUUUGCGCAUGCAUUUGCGUUCGCAAAGUACCACUUUCCCACACGGUGACAAGAGCGUGCGGGAAUGCAACUGAGCCAACGGGGAUGUAGCUGAGCGUGCGGGAAUGUAUAAGAUGGGAAGA
Molecule: long non-coding RNA, 153 nt
Organism: Neodiprion virginianus
Lineage: Eukaryota; Metazoa; Arthropoda; Insecta; Hymenoptera; Diprionidae
Exons: 3
Source: RefSeq, a predicted model, not a curated record